This 294-nucleotide ribosomal RNA is filed under the name uncultured bacterium. RNAcentral's name for it is "partial 16S ribosomal RNA". It matches the Rfam family "Bacterial small subunit ribosomal RNA", at positions 775 to 1067 of the family's 1533-position model. The record is from RNAcentral.
GGAUUAGAUACCCUGGUAGUCCACGCCCUAAACGAUGUCUACUAGUUGUCGGGUUUUAAUUAACUUGGUAACGCAGCUAACGCGUGAAGUAGACCGCCUGGGGAGUACGGUCGCAAGAUUAAAACUCAAAGGAAUUGACGGGGACCCGCACAAGCGGUGGAUGAUGUGGAUUAAUUCGAUGCAACGCGAAAAACCUUACCUACCCUUGACAUGGCAGAAAUCCUUGAGAGAUUGAGGAGUGCUCGAAAGAGAAUCUGCACACAGGUGCUGCAUGGCUGUCGUCAGCUCGUGCCG